GAUGAAGAACGUAGCGAAAUGCGAUAAGUAGUGUGAAUUGCAGAAUUCAGCGAAUCAUCGAAUCUUUGAACGCACAUUGCGCCCUUCGGUUAUUCCUUAGGGCAUGCCUGUUCGAGCGUCAUUUCAACCUUCAAGCCUGGCUUGGUGUUGGGCGCUGUCCCGCCUCCGCGCGCGGACUCGCCCCAAAUGAAUUGGCAGUCGCACCCUCCGAGCCGCGAGCGCAGCACAAGUCGCGCGGGCGGAACUCUGGGGGGACGGACGCUCCACAAGACCCUUUCUCAGUCUUGACCUCGGAUCAGGUAGGGAUACCCGCUGAACUUAAGCAUAUCAAUAAGCGGA
Molecule: unclassified non-coding RNA, 339 nt
Filed under: soil metagenome
Description: partial contains 5.8S ribosomal RNA, internal transcribed spacer 2, and large subunit ribosomal RNA
Rfam family: 5.8S ribosomal RNA (bases 1-121)
Source: RNAcentral